This 507-nucleotide ribosomal RNA is filed under the name uncultured bacterium. RNAcentral's name for it is "bacterial SSU rRNA". It matches the Rfam family "Bacterial small subunit ribosomal RNA", at positions 1 to 527 of the family's 1533-position model. The record is from RNAcentral.
AAUUAGAGUUUGAUCAUGGCUCAGAAUGAACGUUAGCGGCGCGCCUGAUGCAUGCAAGUCGAACGCCCAAGUCAUCCGCAAGGAAGACAAGGGAGUGGCGAACGGCUGAGUAACACGUAAGUAACCUACCUCUAAGUGGGGGAUAACUUGCCGAAAGGCAGGCUAAUUCCGCAUGUGCUGAUAAGCGAAUGUUUUUCAGUAAAGCUUUCGGGUGCUUGGAGAGGGGCUUGCGUCUGAUUAGCUAGUUGGUAGGGUAAUGGCCUACCAAGGCGAUGAUCAGUAGCUGGUCUGAGAGGACGACCAGCCAGACAGGGACUGAGACACGGCCCUGACUCCUACGGGAGGCAGCAGCAAGGAAUUUUGCGCAAUGGGCGAAAGCCUGACGCAGCGACGCCGCGUGGGGGAUGAAGGCCCUCGGGUUGUAAACCCCUUUUCCCGGGGAAGAAUUAUGACGGUACUCGGGGAAUAAGUCUUGGCUAACUACGUGCCAGCCGCCGCGGUAAUACA